RNAcentral lists this ribosomal RNA (551 nucleotides) under uncultured bacterium. RNAcentral's name for it is "bacterial SSU rRNA". It matches the Rfam family "Bacterial small subunit ribosomal RNA", at positions 746 to 1296 of the family's 1533-position model. The record is from RNAcentral.
CUGAUACACGAAAGCGUGGGUAGCAAACAGGAUUAGAUACCCCUGGUAGUCCACGCCCUAAACGAUGCAUAUUUGGUGUGGGCAGUUCAUUCUGUCCGUGCCGGAGCUAACGCGUUAAAUAUGCCGCCUGGGGAGUACAGUCGCAAGGCUGAAACUCAAAGGAACUGACGGGGGCCCGCACAAGCGGUGGAGCAUGUGGUUCAAUUCGACGCAACGCGAAGAACCUUACCUGGGCUCGAACGGCUUCUUAACGACCUUGGAAACAGGGUUACCCCGCAAGGGGGUGGAGUCGAGGUGCUGCAUGGCUGUCGUCAGCUCGUGUCGUGAGAUGUUGGGUUAAGUCCCGCAACGAGCGCAACCCUUGUCCUGUGUUGCCAUGCCGAAAGGCGGAACUCGCAGGAGACCGCCAGCGAUAAGCUGGAGGAAGGUGGGGAUGACGUCAAGUCCUCAUGGCCUUUAUGUCCAGGGCUACACACGUGCUACAAUGGCCGGUACAAAGCGUCGCAAACCCGCGAGGGGGAGCCAAUCGCAAAAAACCGGUCUCAGUUCGG